AUUUCCUACACCAUCUGCAGAAGCUCCUCCUCAACACACCCGCCCACCCACAUACAUACACACACACACACACACAGCGAAAAAGGAGGAAGGCAAAGACGUCUUCAAGUUCGAAAGAGAGAGAGAGGCAGGGGGCGCUUCGUUCCACCACCUCCGCGACGCACGCGAUGCAUGUGUGCGGGCGUCUUUAGUGAGUACUUUGCUUCUCUUCUUGGCGAGCGUUCGACUAGCCUCUUCUUUUUGUGUGUUUUGCCCGCGUUCGGGGUGCGUGCAAGCGUACAUAUGUGCAUAUGUAUGCGUAUGCGUGUACGUGCUUGGAUGUGAGGCCACAUCACACCUGCGCCAGUGUAUGCUUCUCAUUGCUCGCGGGUCUAUCCGCGUUGCGUGGUGCUCCUGCGUAGUCGAUUUCUCUCCUCUUUCCUCGUUCUCUGAGGGCGGCACGCCAUCACGCCACCCGUACGCACCCGGUAGACGCGCACGCACAUACGCACACAUCCAUCCACCGGUAUACACGCUCGCUAGGCUGCAUUUCUGAUCGUCUCUUUUUUUACUUUGCGUUUGUUUUCGCCGCUUUCUUCAGCUCUUGCAGUGUUGUCUCAGAUAAUAUCGUCCUCCUUUCUCUUUCCCUGUCUCCUUAUUCGUCUUGGGCCCCUUCCCCCCUUUCCCCCCUUCCUUCUCUCCCUCAUUCAUUGGGCCAUUCUGUCUCGAGACGUCGCUGUACGACCCUUCCCUCCUGCCAUGAGAGAGCGCGCGCGCACACACACACACACACACGCCUUCACCUGCUCACCUUUUUCUCGUCGUUGCUUCUGUCGUAUGAGGGUAGGAAAGCUCGUUUUGCUUCCUCACCACACACACACACACACUCAUAUAUAUAUAUAUAUAUAUAUAUAUAUAUAUAUAUAUCGACGGUCUACGCAGCACCAGCACCCCCCUCCUCCUCUUGGCGCGCGCGUGUUCCCGCCUUCCACGCUUACACACUCUCUGCGCGCGUCUCUCCACACGGCAGCGCAGCGUGGCAACUGGUGCCUGUCUACACGCAGGCCCACACACGCGCGUCGCCUCCUAUUGCGUGAACCAUGGCGGCGACUUCGCCCACGCCGUCCCAGCGGACGUACUUGCGCAUUGUAGUGUACUGCGACGAUUCGCAGGAGCCGCACACCUUACCGGAUGUGCGUGUGCCGCGGAGCGUCAGCGAGGUGCAGCGACUCGUGGAGGGCCGAGUAGGACAGCGAGCAAUGGUGCUAUCCUACUGGAAUUACACGCACAGUCGCUACGAGCUGCUGAAGGAUGUGCGCGAACUGCUGCAGGAAGACGGACGCCUGCUUUCUCAGCGUUUACACACCUCAGAGAAUGAGGCCGCGGAGACGGCAGAGGCGGAUGGGACGACGAACACGGACGGCAGAGCCACCUCCGCCAGCGAGCUGGGCGCCCACCAUUCCAAGCUCUGUAUCUAUCGCUGCCAGCUGUGGAUGGAGACAACACUGAUUCAGCUGGAGCCACUGGAUAAACGGCGCGACAAGAUCGAGUACGAUGAGCUGCGCAGCCACGUUGCUUGCUGGCUGGGCAACAAGCAUGUCGGCUUCGAAGUGCAGGAUGCGAUGCGCAUUCGUUGCCCUUUCCUGACUCGCAUGUUUGACGAGACGCGAAGCAGACGGCUGUCGGCCAAUCAGGACAAGGUGCAGCUGCUCUACUACAGUAACAACGCGUGGAGCGUGCGCGUGGUCCUGCAGUAUGGAUUCCUGCUCAGCAACGGCGUCCCCCAGUCGCUGGCAGCCGUGCUGCAGUCCUGCGGCGGCUCGGACGUGUCAAGCGGCACUGAGUCGGGGUCGAGCAAUCCUGUGCCACAUGUCGGGGGUGGUGCCUCGGCGCCGACCUCUCCGUCGUCAGCGUCGCCGACCGCGGCGAACACGCGGCGCACGCCUUUUGUUUUUACCUCCUCGAUGCUUAGCGCGCAUGUGAAGUAUAUGCCACCCAACACCGCGCCUCACAAGGUGCUGCUGUGCGAAGUUGCACCUGGACGCCGUUUCAUGACUGACCAGGGCCUCACGGGCGAGAGCCCCGACAAGCAGGCCUACCCCACCCCUCCUGUGAAGCCACCACGCGGCUACGACAGUGUUUGCUACAUGCGGGCGCACAAGCAGAAGACCAGCCUGCGCACCGAGGACGCCGCUGAAAUUGCGGCAGAGGACCUCUCCCUGGUGCAGGUGCAGGUGCAGCACAGCUACCAGGCACUGCCCCGCUAUCUACUAACGGUGUUCCCCUCCGCCGCCACUCUGUCGGCACAGCAGCGUCGCAAGAGCGGACGGUGCGCCACAACCAGCCCGGCCCGGUCGCCAGGGACGACAGCGCAGGCCGCGGCAGCGAGGGAGGACGAGAAGAAGAUGAGCCGUGCGGGAGGGGUGCCGCCGCCGCUGCCGUCGCCGUCCUCCCCAUCUUCCCCAUCGUCCCCGUCUUCCCCGUCCAAGAUCUACAACAUGAAGGAGUGGUUCAAGUCCAGCCCGAGGCGGGGGUCCGUGUCCGCGGACAACGGCGCGAAUCCGAAGCAGGCUACCUCUCCGCAUAGCACCAGCGGCCUCCUCAUGGGGAUGCGCUACGCAGACAGCACAGCACCCUACCAACGAGCUGCCUCCGCCACCACGCCGGGCCGCGGUGAGGCCUCCAAACAGCGCCGCGCCGCGCAGAAAACCCGCGCAGAGUGCGACGAAGGCAACACCGCAUAUCACGGCGGUGGCGGACUGAUCGAACCCUGGGCGCUAGACUCUGUGCCUGCGAGAGGCACAGGGACUGCAGGGCGCAGUGACCUGGUGACAGGCUCGCCGUGGGCGUCAGGGGUAUACUCAGCCGGCAACGGCGGCUUUCGCAACGCUUCGCCCAGUAAUCGUGUCUCUUACGGCGGUGUUCGUGCUGCUUCGGCACCCCGCGCGCCCCCGACGCAGCACCUGUCGCCACUGAGCCCAUACGCCGCCCAAGUCUCGCCAAGCACGAAUUCGGCGUGGGGGACUGGCGGCCUGAUGCCGUCUCUGUCGUUCCACGGCGCCUACAACGCGCACUCGAGCCACAACAGGCUGCUCUACGAGAGCCUGCCUCGUGAUCGCAGCGCCACGAGCCGCGAUACAGCAUAUCUGUCAGUACCUGCUGCCGUGGUCCGAAGCGCUGGUCGGAGAGCCGCAAGCGCUGGCGCGCCGCUGCCAGCUGCCCAUCAUGGAGCCCCCUCACGUCCUCCCCUUCUGCCACCGCGCGGGGGCGUGCGCGGUGGCGGCGCGAUGGGUGGCGGGGGCAUCGCUGGUCCGACGCUGAAGACAGUGCCGCCCGCCUCGGCCACAGCUCCGUUUACUCAGCGGCAGGCGCCACCGGCGACCUUGGAUCAGUUUACCUGCGACAUUCAUCCCCGCCAGAUCAAGUCGCUCUACUGCAUGGCGUGCGAGGAGCUGACGUGCUCGUACUGCGCCAGCGUUGGGGCGCACCGCUCUCACGUGGUGGUGGAGGCGGCGGAAAGAGCAACGGCUGUAUGCGCCAAGGCAGAGGCACUGCACGAGGCGCUGCGCCACUCGCUGACCCAGUGCGAGCAAACAGAGGAACAGCUGAGGGCAGAGCAGGCCCGCUACGCUGCGCGGCAGCAGCGAGAUCUGUGCUUCGUUCAACGGCAAUUCUCGACACUGAAUCAGGCGCUUCAGCAGGCGGAGCGUUCCAUGACGCAGAUGGUGCAGGAGGCGCAGCGCAGGCCGCCGCUCGCCGAGGCUGCCGCCGUGGCCACCAAGUACACGCAAGCGCUUGCCGCUCUAGACGCGGCGCUGCGUCGUUAUUACAGCACAGUAGCUGCCAGCAGUAGUGGGCCCUGCGCAGAGCGUACUUGCGGUCCCACGAACCGCUUGCUUGAGUUGUUGCACUUCCUUCGCACGACCUCGUCGCUGAUUGGCCAAGUGGAAGGCCGCAUUGCUCGACGCAAGGACGAGGAGAAGCGCCUGCGCGACGCCAUCGUGAGCUGCGAAGCUCAGGCGCAGACGAAUGAGGCCCUCUUUCAACAGGUUGACUGGGCGGGCCUGCGCCGGCUGCUUGUGAGCAUCGGCAACGUCCGCACCAACAUGGACAACGUAGCGGAGCCGCAGCCGUCUACCUCGGCAGGGCCAUUUCGCAGUGGCAGGACCGCGCCUCCGUCACUGCACGAAGCCACCGCCCUCUCUAUGCCUGGUGCAGCACAAAGCCGGCCAAACUCUGCCAAGGUGCGAGCGCGCACUCAGACGCUGAUGGCACUCUCUUCGCCGCGCCGUGACGCCAGCAGCGAUGCACCGCAGCGGCUGCUGGACAGCCUACCUGCCGGUACCCUUAUGCAGAGCGAAAACGGUGCCGCCGCAUCGCCGCCGACGCUGCAGAAUCUCGGCCUGCACCGCUGUCUGACGGACCUCCAGAGAGGCUACAUUUGGGUCAUCCAGAGCGCCACGUCUUACUUCGCACCUGGACAACGGAAGAUAGUCUGCUCCACACCAUUCCGCCUGCUCGGUGUAUCGUGGGAGCUGCGCGUUGCCCCGCUCCCGCGAGCACGUCGCCACGACGGCAGCGCGUCCUCCACGCCGAUGGUGGAGCCGGGGAUCAACGGCGGCGUGAUGGACACCGCGGCGUCUAGGUUGACACCACCCAAUGUGCUGGAAGGAGGCGGCAGGGGGCUCAGUGGUAGUCAGGCGCGCACCUCACUCCUUCUCACGCACUCCGCGCAGGAGGACCACUACACGUUCGCGGCAGAGGAUGUCGACAACACCCUCGUGACGUCGGCGCCCUCGUCCGACGAGGGAGAGGAGGAGUGGCUCGGCCUCUUUCUCUUCCCCUUGCAGCACCGUCUGCGCAUAGACUUCCGCGUUAUCGCCUUCUCAGAGGUGGCAUGGGCGGAGUGGCAGGUGACGGGGUGGACGGCGCGAUUUGCCGGGAAGGGAUGGGGUCUCUACCCCUUCUUGCAACGCAGAGAGCUGCUGCAGACCGACGAGCUGGCGCGCGAUAACAUGGUGAAGAUUUGCAUAGCCCCCAUCAGCGACCUGUAUUAGAGCUGCGUGGAGGCAGGAGCGGGGCAGGUUUGUGUGCGCAUCACGCUUAGAUAGCGCUUCUCCCAUCCGCUCCCGCUCUUUGUUUCUCUCUCUCUCCUUUCUUCUCCAUCUCUCCUCUGUCCCUCUCUGCCUGUGCGCUUGUGUGCAUGCCGGUGUCCCUUCGCGGCUCGCGUGCGCGACGAUCAUUGGAUGUGCAUUUUCCAUGGCGACUUUUUUUUUAAUAAAGCGCUUUCGCCUAUCGACAUGUGUUCCUCCCUUCCCCCCUCCUCAUCCACCACGUUUUCCUUGCGGCGUCGUCGCUGUCCCUCUCGUGUCGUGCGCUUUACCUUCUCUCCUCGAACUGUGCGAUGAGCUGAUGACCUAAACAUCCCCGCCCGCCGUGUGUGUUCGUUGCUUGGCAUUGCAGUGCAAUGCCACACACGACAUGCGUCACCUUUAUCGAAAGGGUAGCACGAACUGACUGCAGGUGCGUUUACACGUGCACAUGUAAGGCGGGAGGGGGACAGGGAGGAGAGGAUGGUUUGUGCUUCGCUCAUCAUGGCGUCUUCAGGGCAAUAAUGCGACAGGCAUAGAGGGAAGGCGGAGACGACUGCGUGCAUGUACAUCUGCGAUCUUUUCUGUGCCUCCGUUUUUUUUUUUGUGUCCUUCCCUGAGCUGCACCAAUAUGCUCGUGCUUGUGUGUUGCUCACCAAACAAGCGCCUCUGAGUCUCUCUCACUCGCUUCACCGCUCUUUCGCCCUCACUGCGGUGCGGUGCUGUGAACACGUGAGGACUGCGGUGGUCGUGCUUUGGGGGUGCCGCUGCUGCCGCUGCUGCCUCUCUCCCUGCUACCGUUCCCUUUCCUCGAACCGUACUCGCCGGUACUUCGACGUGCGAUGCAGCAAACUCUCUCCUCCCUCGCGCCCCCUUUUUUUUUUCGGGCCAUCCCUCGAUUUCCUUGGGUCGCAACACGCAG
This 5991-nucleotide unclassified non-coding RNA is filed under the name Leishmania donovani. RNAcentral's name for it is "gene:LdHU3.32.4490(CDS-product:B-box_zinc_finger_ containing_protein_putative)". The record is from RNAcentral. Lineage: Eukaryota; Euglenozoa; Kinetoplastea; Trypanosomatida; Trypanosomatidae.